UACGAGGGGUGCAAGUGUUAUUCAGAAUCAUUGGGCGUAAAAUGCAUGUAGGUUGUUGAUCAAGUUCAAAUACAAAUGUUUCAAGUAACUGAUACGACGUUUGAAAACUAAUUAACUAGAGUCACUUAAAGAGUAAUGGAAUUACUAGAGGAGAGGUUAAAUUCAUAGAUCCUAGUAUGAACGUCAAUGGCUAAGGCAAUUAUUUAGGAGAUGACUGACGCUGAUAUGCGAAAGCGUGGGAAGCAAACAGG
RNAcentral lists this ribosomal RNA (251 nucleotides) under uncultured bacterium. RNAcentral's name for it is "partial 16S ribosomal RNA". It matches the Rfam family "Bacterial small subunit ribosomal RNA", at positions 524 to 776 of the family's 1533-position model. The record is from RNAcentral.